Molecule: unclassified non-coding RNA, 384 nt
Filed under: Hevea brasiliensis (rubber tree)
Lineage: Eukaryota; Viridiplantae; Streptophyta; Magnoliopsida; Malpighiales; Euphorbiaceae
Source: RNAcentral
AGAAGCUGAUCUUAGAUCCCAAAAGUGCAAAUUGCUCUUAUUGGAAAUGUAGUCUUUACUCUGCUUUUGUCUAUAAAGCUAAGAAAUUUCGUUAAUAGAUAGGCAACUGCUAAUUGAGGCGUGCAAAUUCAGACAUUGGCCAUCUUAAUACUUAUCCUGUAUUUUUUAGGUUCUUAUGGUUAUGGGGUAUUGGCUAUUGCCGUUUUCAUUUGUUUGUUUGUCCAAAGGUUUGUGAAUGGUCUUUGCAAGAGAAAACGGCAUGUUUGUCCUUUCUUUGUCUGUUUGCUCUUCUUAAGUACCAAUCUUUGUCACCAAUUUAUCGACUUUGAGGGACUGUUUAUCUAUGUUUCUUUUGGGUUCCUUAAUUGCAGUUCAAGCCCCAGG